This 253-nucleotide ribosomal RNA is filed under the name uncultured bacterium. Its description in RNAcentral is "partial 16S ribosomal RNA". It matches the Rfam family "Bacterial small subunit ribosomal RNA", at positions 524 to 776 of the family's 1533-position model. The record is from RNAcentral.
UACGUAGGGGGCAAGCGUUGUCCGGAAUCAUUGGGCGUAAAGCGCGUGUAGGCGGCUCGAUAAGUCUGCUGUGAAAGUUCAGGGCUCAACCCUGAAAUGCCGGUGGAAACUGUCGGGCUAGAGUCCGGAAGAGGCGAGUGGAAUUCCUGGUGUAGCGGUGAAAUGCGCAGAUAUCAGGAGGAACACCGGUGGCGAAGGCAGCUCGCUGGGACGUUACUGACGCUGAGACGCGAAAGCGUGGGGAGCAAACAGG